Molecule: ribosomal RNA, 1455 nt
Filed under: uncultured Bordetella sp.
Lineage: Bacteria; Pseudomonadati; Pseudomonadota; Betaproteobacteria; Burkholderiales; Alcaligenaceae
Description: partial 16S-23S ribosomal RNA intergenic spacer
Rfam family: Bacterial small subunit ribosomal RNA
Source: RNAcentral
AGUUCGAUCAUGGCUCAGACUGAACGCUGGCGGGAUGCUUUACAUGCAAGGUGAACGGCAGCACGGACUUCGGUCUGGUGGCGAGUGGCGAACGGGUGAGUAAUGUAUCGGAACGUGCCUAGUAGCAGGGGACAACUACGCGAAAGCGUAGCUAAUACCACAUACGCCCUUCAGGAAAGCGAGACCUUCGGGCCUCGCACUAUUGAAGCGGCCGAUAUCGGAUUAGCUAGUUGGUGGGGUAACGGCUCACCAAGGCGACGAUCCGUAGCUGGUUUGGGGACGACAACCACACUGGGACUGAGACACGGCCCGGACUCCUACGGAGGCAGCAGUGGGGGAAUUUUGGACAAUGGGGGAAACCCUGAUCCAGCCAUCCGCGUGUGCGAUGAAGGCCUUCGGGUUGUAAAGCACUUUUGGCGGGAAAGAAACGCGGCACGGGAUAAUACCCCGUGCAGCGUACCUGCAGAAUAAGCACCGGCUAACUACGUGCCAGCAGCCGCGGUAAUACGUAGGGUGCAAGCGUUAAUCGGAAUUACUGGGCGUAAAGCGUGCGCAGGCGGUUCGGAAAGAAGAUGUGAAAUCCAGAACGCUUUGGAACUGCAUUUUUAACUACCGAGCUAGAGUGUGUCGGAGAAUGGAAUUCCGCGAUGUAGCAGUGAGAAAUGCGGCAGAAUGCGGAGAACACCGAUGGCGAGAGCAGCCUGCAGGAUAACACUGACGCUCAUGCACGAAAAGCGUGGGGAGCAAACAGGAUUACUGAAUGCCUGGUAGUCCACGACUAAACGAUGUCAACUAGCUGGUGGGGCCUUCGGGCGCCGGUAGCCCGCAGCUAACGCGUGAGAUUGACCGCCUGGGGAGUACGGUGCCGAGAUUAAAACUCAAGGUCGGCGGGGACCCGCACAAGCGGUGGAUGAUGUGGAUUAAUUCGAUGCAACGCGAAAAACCUUGCCUACCCUUGACGUAAUAUCCUGAUCCCGAAGAGAUUUGGGAGUGCUCGCAAGAGAACCGGAACAGGUGCUGCAUGGCUGUCGUCAGCUCGUGUCGUGGAAUGUUAGGUUAAGUCCCGCAACGAGCGCAACCCUUGUCAUUAGUUGCUACGAAAGGGCGCCCCAAUGAGACUGCCGGUGACCGGAGGAAGGUGGGGAUGACGUCAAGUCCUCAUGGCCCAUAUAGGUGAGACUUCACACGUCGCCACACUGGUCGGGACAAGAGGUCGCCAACCGCGAGGAGCCAAUCCCAGAAACCCGAUCGUAGUCGGAUCGCAGUCUGCAACUCGACUGCGUGAAGUCGGAAUCGCUAGUAAUCGCGGAUCAGCAUGUCGCGGUGAAUACGUUCCCGGGUCUUGUACACACCGCCCGCCACACUUGGGAAUUGGGUUUUGCAAGUAGUUAGCUUCUAACAAGGAGGCGAUUACCACGGUAGAAGUUCAUGACUGGGGUGAAGUCGUAACAAGGU